Long non-coding RNA from Oreochromis aureus, 456 nucleotides. RefSeq lists it as uncharacterized. NCBI's taxonomy places the organism in Eukaryota, Metazoa, Chordata, Actinopteri, Cichliformes, Cichlidae. The transcript has 3 exons. The record is from RefSeq and is a predicted model, not a curated record.
GUGUACUGAGUCUUUUGGACUACACAGAGUGAUGUAGUAUUGACUGUGAUGCUGAUCUGAGUUGUCUCAUUCUGUAUUUUUGUGCUUUGUCUUUUGUUACACAGAGUGAAAGAGAUCUUUGGUUUUGCCUUUGCUGACUGCUGAUCUGAUCGUCUCAAGUCUGUGUAAGUGUUCAGUUACAGUUGUCAUCUAGAGGCUGCCCUGAGAACCCAGACUUCCUGUUUCCUGACUGCUGCAGAACAUCCAGCUGAAGAAUCCCCAUCACUUGUCAUCAGAUCACCACACCAUCACAGCUCCUUAUAUUUGCUUUAAAUUUUAAAUAUCUGAAAGAUUUACACAAAGUCUACUUAAAAGCUAAGAGUUUUAUUAUAGCCUGUUGAUUGUUGAGAUUUAUUCUGCAUAUUACUUUACAGGAGUAUAGACCAAUUUGUUAUCCCGUCUGGUUAAAAAAAAAGA